RNAcentral lists this non-coding RNA (146 nucleotides) under Streptomyces longwoodensis. RNAcentral describes it as "SAM-I sequence". It matches the Rfam family "SAM riboswitch aptamer (S box leader)". From Rfam's summary of the family: The SAM riboswitch is found upstream of a number of genes which code for proteins involved in methionine or cysteine biosynthesis in Gram-positive bacteria. The record is from Rfam by way of RNAcentral. Lineage: Bacteria; Bacillati; Actinomycetota; Actinomycetes; Kitasatosporales; Streptomycetaceae.
AGCUCAUCCAGAGGGGCAGAGGGACACGGCCCGAUGAAGCCCCGGCAACCCUCCAGUCGGUUCUCCUGACCUGUGCAGCGAGGCUCCCGGCUAGGGAAGGUGCCAAAUCCGUCUCACGGCGAGAUGCGUCGUGAGGAAGAUGAGGA